CCUUUCAGAGUUGAGGGGAUGUAAAUGCAGAUCUUGCUUGUGAAAGAGCUGAAUUGUGAAUUUCAAUUAUUUGCAAGGACUAUGACUUCCAUAUUUGGAUAUACUCAGCAUCUACCAUGAUAUCUGACACAUAGUGUUAAUAAAUAAAUAUUAAUAAAUAAAACUGGUCAAAUUGCAAAGUUUUUGUACCAUGAACAUGUUAAUUAUUCAUAUUAAUAAAUUUAGCCUUUCAAAAUACCUUAAUAAUAUUCAUUAAUUUAUUUAUAAGGAUCUGGAUGUAGAAAAAAAAAUUUUCUGUGUGUGUGUAUAGUAACAAAAUACCAAUAGUUUUAUUGAGGUAAAACAUGAUAAACUUGGAAUCUGCUAUGAUUUGAAUGUCCCCUCCAAAACUCAUGUUGAAAUUUAAUUGCCAGUAUGAUGGUAUUUGGAGGUGGGGUCUUUAAAAAGUGAUUAAGUCAUGAGGGCUUCACCCUCAUGAAUAGACUAAUGUUACCACAAGAGUGGGUUGGUUAUCAUAUGGCAGGGUAGUUAUAAAAGUGAGGCCAGCCCCUGAUGUUCUGCUCUCUUGCAUAUGCUUGCUCUCCCUUCUGCUCUUUUGCCACGGGAUAUUGCAGCAUGAAAGCUCUCACCAGAUAUAAGCACCGUGCUUUUGGAAUUCUCAGCCCCCAAAAUGACUUCAUCUUCAUUGGUGACACAUCACAGAAGCUGAGGUCCAUCAUGGAUUUCUAAAGAUAAUUCAUCCAGAUGCCUCUUUGGUCAGCUCCACUAACCAGCUGGAACACAUCAUUUCUUCCUCUCCAAUCCCAGCACCAAUUAUUCACCCAAAUAAUGACCAGACGUUAGCAGCUUACUUGGAAAUAGUGUCCUGUGGUUCCAGCUGAUUCUCUGUCUCUGACCACUGCUGGGAAGGCUCCAUAGGCCUCUUCCUUCCCACGCUGCGUCAUUCCAAUCUAGCUACCAGGAAACUCUGUCAUGCAGAUGAUAGAUCUCAUGUGUCUCUAAAUCUGCACACCAUCACCUAUCUGCCCCUUGUUGCCUAUUAUGUUCCUUCUAUUAAUGAAUUCAUACAAAUACAUACAUUUUAUUUAUAAGAAUUCUUGCCUUCUGUCCCUUUCUCAUUCAAACAAAAUUUAUUGCUCUAUUCUGUCUUAAUUUCUUAUGAAAGAAAACAUUUGACCUACUCAAC
This 1186-nucleotide long non-coding RNA is filed under the name Homo sapiens (human). Its description in RNAcentral is "HSALNT0093468". Lineage: Eukaryota; Metazoa; Chordata; Mammalia; Primates; Hominidae. The record is from RNAcentral.